GUUUUAACAAUUUGUGCAGCACAUAUAUGAAUUGGAAUGAUACAGAAAAGAUUAGCAUGGCCCCUGUGCAAGG
This 73-nucleotide small nuclear RNA is filed under the name Mus spicilegus (steppe mouse). Lineage: Eukaryota; Metazoa; Chordata; Mammalia; Rodentia; Muridae. The record is from RNAcentral.